RNAcentral lists this ribosomal RNA (465 nucleotides) under uncultured Klebsiella sp. RNAcentral's name for it is "bacterial SSU rRNA". It matches the Rfam family "Bacterial small subunit ribosomal RNA", at positions 338 to 795 of the family's 1533-position model. The record is from RNAcentral. Lineage: Bacteria; Pseudomonadati; Pseudomonadota; Gammaproteobacteria; Enterobacterales; Enterobacteriaceae.
CCUACGGGUGGCUGCAGUGGGGAAUAUUGCACAAUGGGCGCAAGCCUGAUGCAGCCAUGCCGCGUGUGUGAAGAAGGCCUUCGGGUUGUAAAGCACUUUCAGCGGGGAGGAAGGCGUUAAGGUUAAUAACCUUGGCGAUUGACGUUACCCGCAGAUGAAGCACCGGCUAACUCCGUGCCAGCAGCCGCGGUAAUACGGAGGGUGCAAGCGUUAAUCGGAAUUACUGGGCGUAAAGCGCACGCAGGCGGUCUGUCAAGUCGGAUGUGAAAUCCCCGGGCUCAACCUGGGAACUGCAUUCGAAACUGGCAGGCUAGAGUCUUGUAGAGGGGGGUAGAAUUCCAGGUGUAGCGGUGAAAUGCGUAGAGAUCUGGAGGAAUACCGGUGGCGAAGGCGGCCCCCUGGACAAAGACUGACGCUCAGGUGCGAAAGCGUGGGGAGCAAACAGGAUUAGAUACCCGAGUAGUC